AUGUGUGUGACUAUAUAUUGCUUUCCUUUUCUUAAGAAAAUCUUAAAGGAAUCAUGGGGAAGACAACAUGAACAUCGCCUGCUUUCCAGACCGAUCUGGUCCUGCCCUCUUCCUCCAUCUGCUUAUUUUAGCCACAUUGCCGUCCACCUCGGUGCACUUCUGCACAGCCUCCCCACACCCCGGCCAUUAAUCACGCAACAACAAAUACCUUGGGAGCACCGCUUGAAAAAUGAGUCAGCUUUGGAGCUCUCUGCUUCAUGUUUGUUUUUUUUUUUAAUUUUUUUUCAACGUUUAUUUAUUUUUGGGACAGAGAGAGACAGAGCCUGAACGGGGGAGGGGCAGAGAGAGAGGGAGACACAGAAUCGGAAACAGGCUCCAGGCUCUGAGCCAUCAGCCCAGAGCCUGACGCGGGGCUCGAACUCACGGACCGCGAGAUCGUGACCUGGCUGAAGUCGGACGCUUAACCGACUGCGCCACCCAGGCGCCCCCUCUGCUUCAUGUUUUAAUGGAGCUUCAGUAAAACUAUUUAGAGACCACUUUGGGAUAAUUCUGCUUUUUGAAAUAAAAAAUGGAAGCCCCCUCA
RNAcentral lists this long non-coding RNA (583 nucleotides) under Felis catus (domestic cat). RNAcentral's name for it is "lncRNA (ENSFCAG00000047817.1)". Lineage: Eukaryota; Metazoa; Chordata; Mammalia; Carnivora; Felidae. The record is from RNAcentral.